GCUUGCUCCCGGAUGUUAGCGGCGGACGGGUGAGUAACACGUGGGUAACCUGCCUGUAAGACUGGGAUAACUCCGGGAAACCGGAGCUAAUACCGGAUAGUUCCUUGAACCGCAUGGUUCAAGGAUGAAAGACGGUUUCGGCUGUCACUUACAGAUGGACCCGCGGCGCAUUAGCUAGUUGGUGGGGUAAUGGCUCACCAAGGCGACGAUGCGUAGCCGACCUGAGAGGGUGAUCGGCCACACUGGGACUGAGACACGGCCCAGACUCCUACGGGAGGCAGCAGUAGGGAAUCUUCCGCAAUGGACGAAAGUCUGACGGAGCAACGCCGCGUGAGUGAUGAAGGUUUUCGGAUCGUAAAGCUCUGUUGUUAGGGAAGAACAAGUGCGAGAGUAACUGCUCGCACCUUGACGGUACCUAACCAGAAAGCCACGGCUAACUACGUGCCAGCAGCCGCGGUAAUACGUAGGUGGCAAGCGUUGUCCGGAAUUAUUGGGCGUAAAGGGCUCGCAGGCGGUUUCUUAAGUCUGAUGUGAAAGCCCCCGGCUCAACCGGGGAGGGUCAUUGGAAACUGGGAAACUUGAGUGCAGAAGAGGAGAGUGGAAUUCCACGUGUAGCGGUGAAAUGCGUAGAGAUGUGGAGGAACACCAGUGGCGAAGGCGACUCUCUGGUCUGUAACUGACGCUGAGGAGCGAAAGCGUGGGGAGCGAACAGGAUUAGAUACCCUGGUAGUCCACGCCGUAAACGAUGAGUGCUAAGUGUUAGGGGGUUUCCGCCCCUUAGUGCUGCAGCUAACGCA
RNAcentral lists this ribosomal RNA (797 nucleotides) under Bacillus safensis. RNAcentral's name for it is "bacterial SSU rRNA". It matches the Rfam family "Bacterial small subunit ribosomal RNA", at positions 78 to 859 of the family's 1533-position model. The record is from RNAcentral. Lineage: Bacteria; Bacillati; Bacillota; Bacilli; Caryophanales; Bacillaceae.